GAAAUUCUGUGCUUUGUUUUCAUCUUCAUCUACUCCUGUCAUUUACAUCGCCUUUUACAGUUGGAUAGUAUAAGAAUAUUUGAAGAUGAGCCGUUACAAUGGUGACUUCCUUAACCUUAAAACAUCAUUUCAGGAUAUGUAUGUGGUCAGAUGUGAGAGUGGAGAAUGACAAUCAGGUAAAUGAAUUAAUGGCAUGCAAGGGUAGACUAGUGAAAUACCGGAGUCUAUCCAUGAACUCCCAUAUUCUUUGCCAUGGCCUGUUUUCUAGAACUGGAGCUGCAGAAAUCUGUCCUCCCAUUAACUUCUCAGCUGAAGGCCUGAUUUCAUUGACAAGUUU
This 337-nucleotide long non-coding RNA is filed under the name Vitis vinifera (wine grape). RNAcentral describes it as "long non-coding RNA (VVIN_LNC006668)". The record is from RNAcentral. Lineage: Eukaryota; Viridiplantae; Streptophyta; Magnoliopsida; Vitales; Vitaceae.